RNAcentral lists this unclassified non-coding RNA (150 nucleotides) under uncultured Venturiaceae. RNAcentral's name for it is "sequence contains ITS1". The record is from RNAcentral. Lineage: Eukaryota; Fungi; Ascomycota; Dothideomycetes; Venturiales; Venturiaceae.
CUGGGUCACCGAGCGCUUCGGCGUUCACCCCCACCCUUCUGUCUACCGACUAGCUUCGGCUCAAGGCUGGCCCCUGAUGACUCGGGGGCCCGCCGGCCGAAAAUCCAACCCUGAACAACUUUGCCGCCUGAAGUAACAAGCAAAUAGUUA